AUUGAACGCUGGCGGCAGGCCUAACACAUGCAAGUCGAGCGGAUGAAGGGAGCUUGCUCCUGGAUUCAGCGGCGGACGGGUGAGUAAUGCCUAGGAAUCUGCCUGGUAGUGGGGGAUAACGUCCGGAAACGGGCGCUAAUACCGCAUACGUCCUGAGGGAGAAAGUGGGGGAUCUUCGGACCUCACGCUAUCAGAUGAGCCUAGGUCGGAUUAGCUAGUUGGUGGGGUAAAGGCCUACCAAGGCGACGAUCCGUAACUGGUCUGAGAGGAUGAUCAGUCACAAUGGAACUGAGACACGGUCCAGACUCCUACGGGAGGCAGCAGUGGGGAAUAUUGGACAAUGGGCGAAAGCCUGAUCCAGCCAUGCCGCGUGUGUGAAGAAGGUCUUCGGAUUGUAAAGCACUUUAAGUUGGGAGGAAGGGCAGUAAGUUAAUACCUUGCUGUUUUGACGGUACCAACAGAAUAAGCACCGGCUAACUUCGUG
Molecule: ribosomal RNA, 484 nt
Filed under: uncultured bacterium
Lineage: Bacteria
Description: partial 16S ribosomal RNA
Rfam family: Bacterial small subunit ribosomal RNA
Source: RNAcentral